AUUGAACGCUGGCGGCAGGCCUAACACAUGCAAGUCGAGCGGAUGAGUGGAGCUUGCUCCAUGAUUCAGCGGCGGACGGGUGAGUAAUGCCUAGGAAUCUGCCUGGUAGUGGGGGACAACGUUUCGAAAGGAACGCUAAUACCGCAUACGUCCUACGGGAGAAAGUGAGGGAUCUUCGGACCUCACGCUAUCAGAUGAGCCUAGGUCGGAUUAGCUAGUUGGUGAGGUAAAGGCUCACCAAGGCGACGAUCCGUAACUGGUCUGAGAGGAUGAUCAGUCACACUGGAACUGAGACACGGUCCAGACUCCUACGGGAGGCAGCAGUGGGGAAUAUUGGACAAUGGGCGAAAGCCUGAUCCAGCCAUGCCGCGUGUGUGAAGAAGGUCUUCGGAUUGUAAAGCACUUUAAGUUGGGAGGAAGGGCAGUAAGUUAAUACCUUGCUGUUUUGACGUUACCAACAGAAUAAGCACCGGCUAACUUCGUG
RNAcentral lists this ribosomal RNA (484 nucleotides) under uncultured bacterium. RNAcentral's name for it is "partial 16S ribosomal RNA". It matches the Rfam family "Bacterial small subunit ribosomal RNA", at positions 30 to 507 of the family's 1533-position model. The record is from RNAcentral.